This 305-nucleotide long non-coding RNA is filed under the name Nicotiana benthamiana. RNAcentral describes it as "long non-coding RNA (NBEN_LNC007509)". The record is from RNAcentral. Lineage: Eukaryota; Viridiplantae; Streptophyta; Magnoliopsida; Solanales; Solanaceae.
UAGGCUUGGAGGGCUGAAUGAAAUAGGAAGAGGUAAGAUCAGAAAGAAUGAUAGCAUUACACACAUAGUCAUUCAAAUAUGCAGGCUUCUGAGUGAUCCUUUCUAACUUUCUGAUUGGAGGAGGUGGAAUGGGAAUAGGAUUGUGACAACCCGACCGGUCGUCUUUGAAAUUUAUUCCCCGUUUCCCCAUUAACUAUUUGCCCAAAGUUAAUUUCUGCUAUUUUGGUUUGCCGAAACGUUCGGUGAUACAAUUCGGAGUGAUUGGGAUACUUAGUCCCUAAAUGAGAGCUUAAGUAUUGGAAAAU